This is a small nuclear RNA of Cavia porcellus (domestic guinea pig), 107 nucleotides long. The record is from Ensembl. NCBI's taxonomy places the organism in Eukaryota, Metazoa, Chordata, Mammalia, Rodentia, Caviidae.
AUGCUUGCUUUGGCAGCACAUAUACUAAAACUGGAAUGGUGAAGAGAAGGUUAGCAUGGCCCCUGCACAAAGAUGAUAUGAAAACUGAUGAAGCAUUCCAUUAAAAA